Molecule: long non-coding RNA, 1406 nt
Filed under: Gallus gallus (chicken)
Lineage: Eukaryota; Metazoa; Chordata; Aves; Galliformes; Phasianidae
Source: RNAcentral
CUUUUCUUUUCUUUUCUUUUCUUUUCUUUUCUUUUCUUUUCUUUUUCUUUUUCUUUUUCUUUCUUUCUUUUUUUUUUUUUGGUGUGUCUUUUUUUUUUUUUCCUUUUUUUUCUUAUUUUUUUUCUUUCUGUCUUUUUUUUUUCUUUCCUGCCUUUCUUUUUCCGAUCGCUCCCUUUCUGUGUGCCGGUGCCUGUGAUCCUGACCCCAGCGCCCAUCGCCGCGCCGCACGGCCGCAGCGCACUGCCGGCUUUUUCCCACGUUGCGUGUCCGGCAGAAAAGGGCUGGAGAUAAACUUCGCCUCCGCGCGAUUAGAGCGCGGCUUUUGGGGGGAAGAUCUAAUCGCGCAGGGGGCAGCGCUUAGCCAGAAAAGACGCUCUUUAAAAAAGAAAGAAAGAAAAAAUAGAGAGAGAUUUGAAGCAGCGAGCACCGCUGGAGCCGUCCCCGCAAGCCCUCUCCGCCCGCACCUUCGGGUUGCGGCGCAGCAACGCGGGGCUCCGGGCGAGGCGGGACCCUUUCAUCUCUCCGCUUUGUCUGUAUUUUUUUUUUUUUUUUUUUUUUUUUUUUUUUUUUACAUUAUGUCAACUCGGGAUGGAUAUUCGAAGCGCAGGAUUCCUAUUGAACGUGUCUUUGCUUUAAGAUUUCCCCCUGACCCUUGGGCUAAAGUCCUUGGUUGCUCAAUUAAACCCAGAUGAGAACAAUUAAUAACUAAGUAAUGACAAUAAGUUGGGAAUCACACGGAUGAACGCUCUAUGUGAAUAGGAAAACCUCACACAAAAGAGCAAAAAGGAUUUGUCGGCUCUUUUUAAGGGGGAAUUGGCUUUUCUUUUUUCUUGCCUCUGGCUUACCAGCAAAUAAAACUCACUUUUGUGUCUUUGUCGCCUUAAGGAUCUCAGUGGGCAGUUGGAAGUGAGAAUGGCUGUUUUCCUUUCAACUUGAGGGUGCUGGCGCCACGCAGCCCCAAGGAUAGAGAGCAGCCAAAGCAAAGUUUCCUAAUAACUCCCCGCCGCCCCCAGCCGCUCCGGUCCCCCCCCUCCCCGUGCAUAUCUGCACACACGCUCCCAGGGAGCCCCGGCGGACAGACGCGAGAAAACAGAGGGGCCCCGAGCGCCUACGUGGAGCGCGCACACACUGAUGCCACGCUUUCCACGGUGGGAAGGAAAUGAAGCGCGCAGUGGCCAGAGCCCGGCGGAACUAGUUUUCCACUCGUGAUGCUCAAAGUGGCAAAAAUAUUAUAGAAGAAAACUAUUGGAUUGUCAAGUUGUAUUAUAAAUACAAGACCUGGAUGCAAUGGACUCAUGCAUAAUCUUUCUGUGUAAGACAUUUGCCAUCUGCCUACCACUCCCAUCUUGAGUAGAGAAGGCUGCUGGAAGACACGAUACAGGCCUCAAAUAUGUCAAAGAUUCUUC